GUGCUUGCUUUGGCAGCACAUAUAUAAAAGUUGGAAUGGUACAGAGAAGGUUAACAUGCCCCUGUGCAAACAUAUGUGCAAAUUCGUGAAUUGUUCCAUAUUAAC
Small nuclear RNA from Ailuropoda melanoleuca (giant panda), 105 nucleotides. Lineage: Eukaryota; Metazoa; Chordata; Mammalia; Carnivora; Ursidae. The record is from Ensembl.